Molecule: ribosomal RNA, 998 nt
Filed under: Lactiplantibacillus plantarum
Lineage: Bacteria; Bacillati; Bacillota; Bacilli; Lactobacillales; Lactobacillaceae
Description: bacterial SSU rRNA
Rfam family: Bacterial small subunit ribosomal RNA
Source: RNAcentral
GGUGCUUGCAUCAUGAUUUACAUUUGAGUGAGUGGCGAACUGGUGAGUAACACGUGGGAAACCUGCCCAGAAGCGGGGGAUAACACCUGGAAACAGAUGCUAAUACCGCAUAACAACUUGGACCGCAUGGUCCGAGCUUGAAAGAUGGCUUCGGCUAUCACUUUUGGAUGGUCCCGCGGCGUAUUAGCUAGAUGGUGGGGUAACGGCUCACCAUGGCAAUGAUACGUAGCCGACCUGAGAGGGUAAUCGGCCACAUUGGGACUGAGACACGGCCCAAACUCCUACGGGAGGCAGCAGUAGGGAAUCUUCCACAAUGGACGAAAGUCUGAUGGAGCAACGCCGCGUGAGUGAAGAAGGGUUUCGGCUCGUAAAACUCUGUUGUUAAAGAAGAACAUAUCUGAGAGUAACUGUUCAGGUAUUGACGGUAUUUAACCAGAAAGCCACGGCUAACUACGUGCCAGCAGCCGCGGUAAUACGUAGGUGGCAAGCGUUGUCCGGAUUUAUUGGGCGUAAAGCGAGCGCAGGCGGUUUUUUAAGUCUGAUGUGAAAGCCUUCGGCUCAACCGAAGAAGUGCAUCGGAAACUGGGAAACUUGAGUGCAGAAGAGGACAGUGGAACUCCAUGUGUAGCGGUGAAAUGCGUAGAUAUAUGGAAGAACACCAGUGGCGAAGGCGGCUGUCUGGUCUGUAACUGACGCUGAGGCUCGAAAGUAUGGGUAGCAAACAGGAUUAGAUACCCUGGUAGUCCAUACCGUAAACGAUGAAUGCUAAGUGUUGGAAGGGUUUCCGCCCUUCAGUGCUGCAGCUAACGCAUUAAGCAUUCCGCCUGGGGAGUACGGCCGCAAGGCUGAAACUCAAAGGAAUUGACGGGGGCCCGCACAAGCGGUGGAGCAUGUGGUUUAAUUCGAAGCUACGCGAAGAACCUUACCAGGUCUUGACAUACUAUGCAAAUCUAAAAAAUUAGACGUUCCCUUCCGGGACAUGGAUACAGGUGGUGCCU